This 500-nucleotide ribosomal RNA is filed under the name uncultured bacterium. RNAcentral's name for it is "bacterial SSU rRNA". It matches the Rfam family "Bacterial small subunit ribosomal RNA", at positions 29 to 523 of the family's 1533-position model. The record is from RNAcentral.
AAUGAACGCUGGCGGCGUGCUUUACACAUGCAAGUCGAGCGAGGCGGGUAGCAAUACCCAGUCGAGCGGCGAACGGGUGAGUAACGCGUGGAUUAUCUGCCCUGAGGUGGGGGAUAACCCGGGGAAACUCGGGCUAACACCGCAUAGGACCGUGAGGUCAAAGGGGGGUCGCAAGAUCUCUCGCCAUAGGAGGAGUCCGCGUUCGAUUAGCUAGUUGGUAGGGUAAUGGCCUACCAAGGCGACGAUCGAUAGCCGGCCUGAGAGGGUGAUCGGCCACACUGGAACUGAGACACGGGUCCAGACUCCUACGGGAGGCAGCAGUGGGGAAUUUUGCGCAAUGGGCUAACGCCUGACGCAGCAACGCCGCGUGGAGGAUGAAGGUCUUUGGAUUGUAAACUCCUGUCAGCAGGGAAAAAGCAACUUGACCUCAUACGUCAGGGAGUUGAUUUGUACCUGCAGAGGAAGCCCCGGGCUAAACUCUGUGCCAGCAGCCGCAGUAC